CUCUACUAGCUAUAUCACUCCGAAUGCUCCCAAUCUGAUCUGAUCUUGGAAACAAGCAGAGUCAGGCUUAGUUCAAUAUUUGGAUGUGAGACAACUGAGAAUACUGGGUGCUGUAGACU
RNAcentral lists this ribosomal RNA (119 nucleotides) under Sarcophilus harrisii (Tasmanian devil). The record is from RNAcentral. Lineage: Eukaryota; Metazoa; Chordata; Mammalia; Dasyuromorphia; Dasyuridae.